RNAcentral lists this ribosomal RNA (400 nucleotides) under uncultured soil bacterium. Its description in RNAcentral is "bacterial SSU rRNA". It matches the Rfam family "Bacterial small subunit ribosomal RNA", at positions 26 to 411 of the family's 1533-position model. The record is from RNAcentral.
AGAGUGAACGCUGGCGGUAGGCCUAACACAUGCAAGUCGAACGGCAGCACAGUGGUAGCAAUACCAUGGGUGGCGAGUGGCGGACGGGUGAGGAAUACAUCGGAAUCUACCUUUUUCGUGGGGGAUAACGUAGGGAAACUUACGCUAAUACCGCAUACGCCCUUCGGGGGAAAGCCGGGGAUCGCAAGACCUGGCGCGGAUAGAUGAGCCGAUGUCGGAUUAGCUAGUUGGUGAGGUAAUGGCUCACCAAGGCGACGAUCCGUAGCUGGUCUGAGAGGAUGAUCAGCCACACUGGAACUGACGACACGGUCCAGACCUCCGUACGGGAGCAGCGAGUGGGGAAUAGUUAGGACAAGUGGGACACAAGCCUGACUCCGAGCCAUACCGGCGUAGGGUAGAA